UCCCUGGUGGCUCAGACGGUGAGAGCUUCUGCCUACAAUGUGGGAGACCCAAGUUCGAUCCCUGGGUUGGGAA
Molecule: non-coding RNA, 73 nt
Organism: Bos taurus (domestic cattle)
Lineage: Eukaryota; Metazoa; Chordata; Mammalia; Artiodactyla; Bovidae
Source: Rfam